GACGAACGCUGGCGGCGUGCUUAACACAUGCAAGUCGAACGGAAAGGCCCUGCUUUUGUGGGGUGCUCGAGUGGCGAACGGGUGAGUAACACGUGAGUAACCUGCCCUUGACUUUGGGAUAACUUCAGGAAACUGGGGCUAAUACCGGAUAGGAGCUCCUGCUGCAUGGUGGGGGUUGGAAAGUUUCGGCGGUUGGGGAUGGACUCGCGGCUUAUCAGCUUGUUGGUGGGGUAGUGGCUUACCAAGGCUUUGACGGGUAGCCGGCCUGAGAGGGUGACCGGACACAUUGGGACUGAGAGACGGCCCAGACUCCUACGGGAGGCAGCAGUGGGGAAUAUUGCACAAUGGGCGGAAGCCUGAUGCAGCAACGCCGCGUGCGGGAUGACGGCCUUCGGGUUGUAAACCGCUUUCGCCUGUGACGAAGCGUGAGUGACGGUAAUGGGUAAAGAAGCACCGGCUAACUACGUG
RNAcentral lists this ribosomal RNA (468 nucleotides) under uncultured bacterium. Its description in RNAcentral is "partial 16S ribosomal RNA". It matches the Rfam family "Bacterial small subunit ribosomal RNA", at positions 28 to 507 of the family's 1533-position model. The record is from RNAcentral.